RNAcentral lists this ribosomal RNA (497 nucleotides) under uncultured bacterium. RNAcentral describes it as "partial 16S ribosomal RNA". It matches the Rfam family "Bacterial small subunit ribosomal RNA", at positions 28 to 507 of the family's 1533-position model. The record is from RNAcentral.
GAUGAACGCUGGCGGCGUGCCUAAUACAUGCAAGUCGAGCGAACAGACGAGGAGCUUGCUCCUCUGACGUUAGCGGCGGACGGGUGAGUAACACGUGGAUAACCUACCUAUAAGACUGGGAUAACUUCGGGAAACCGGAGCUAAUACCGGAUAAUAUAUUGAACCGCAGGGUUCAAUAAUUAAAGACGGUUUUGCUGUCACUUAUAGAUGUAUCCGCGCCGCAUUAGCUAGUUGGUAAGGUAACGGCUUACCAAGGCAACGCUGCGUAGCCGACCUGAGAGGGUGAUCGGUCAUACUAGAAGCGAGACAGCGUCCCGACUCCUACGGGAGGCAGCAGUAGGGAAUCGUCCGCAAUGGGCGGAAGCCUGACGGAGCGACGCCGCGUGAGUGAUGAGGUGCUUCGGAGCGUAAUACUCUGUUACUAGGGAAGAACACCUGUGUAAGCAACUAUGCCCGUCUUGACGUUACCUAAUCAGAAAGCCACGGCUAACUACGUG